This 427-nucleotide ribosomal RNA is filed under the name uncultured bacterium. RNAcentral describes it as "bacterial SSU rRNA". It matches the Rfam family "Bacterial small subunit ribosomal RNA", at positions 355 to 775 of the family's 1533-position model. The record is from RNAcentral.
UCGAGAAUUUUUCUCAAUGGGGGCAACCCUGAAGGAGCGACGCCGCGUGGAGGAUGAAGGUCUUCGGAUUGUAAACUCCUGUCAUUAGGGAACAAGGCUCGCGGUUAACUGCCGUCGAGAUUGAUAGUACCUGAAGAGGAAGAGACGGCUAACUCUGUGCCAGCAGCCGCGGUAAUACAGAGGUCUCAAGCGUUGUUCGGAUUCAUUGGGCGUAAAGGGUGCGUAGGUGGCAAGGUAAGUCGGGUGUGAAAUCCCGGGGCUCAACCCUGGAACUGCACUCGAUACUGCCAUGCUCGAGUACUGGAGAGGAGACUGGAAUUUACGGUGUAGCAGUGAAAUGCGUAGAUAUCGUAAGGAAGACCAGUGGCGAAGGCGAGUCUCUGGACAGUUACUGACACUGAGGCACGAAGGCCAGGGGAGCAAACGG